This 352-nucleotide ribosomal RNA is filed under the name uncultured Anoxybacillus sp. RNAcentral's name for it is "bacterial SSU rRNA". It matches the Rfam family "Bacterial small subunit ribosomal RNA", at positions 1029 to 1382 of the family's 1533-position model. Lineage: Bacteria; Bacillati; Bacillota; Bacilli; Caryophanales; Anoxybacillaceae. The record is from RNAcentral.
GGGUGACAGGUGGUGCAUGGUUGUCGUCAGCUCGUGUCGUGAGAUGUUGGGUUAAGUCCCGCAACGAGCGCAACCCUCGACCUUAGUUGCCAGCAUUCAGUUGGGCACUCUAAGGUGACUGCCGGCUAAAAGUCGGAGGAAGGUGGGGAUGACGUCAAAUCAUCAUGCCCCUUAUGACCUGGGCUACACACGUGCUACAAUGGGCGGUACAAAGGGUCGCGAACCCGCGAGGGGGAGCCAAUCCCAAAAAGCCGCUCUCAGUUCGGAUUGCAGGCUGCAACUCGCCUGCAUGGAGCCGGAAUCGCUAGUAAUCGCGGAUCAGCAUGCCGCGGUGAAUACGUUCCCGGGCCUU